GAGUAUCGAUCAUAGGAUGCAAGGAUUUCAGACAGGUAUCUGGAGCUGCAGGUAAAAGUUAGUUCCUAGUUUUUCUCUCUCUAAUUUUCUCUCUUGAGUCAAAGUCUGCCAUGAAUCAAAACUUAAUGGUGGCUGCCACCAAGUUCUGUUCACUUCUUUUUGACCUAUAUCCAAGAGUUCUUUGCGAAAGCGAGCCUUGAAGAUUGCCGCCUCCAAGUCCCGUUUCGAACUCUUUUAUUGGAGUCUUUAUGAAUCAAGCCUUAAUAGUUUUAGCCACCAAAUCCUGUUCAGACUCAUCCUAAGUAAACAAUAGAUCUUAUAUUGAUUUUUUUAUUAUUAUUAUUAUUUUUUUUUUUUUAAAUAGAACUCACUAACUAUUCUAGGGUCGAAACUUAGAGAGAGAAAAUGUGAUAAAUAAUCUACACAAGGCGUUACCUUCCAGACCUGUCUGAAGAAUUCGAUCCCAUGUAUACCAAACCCCAAGACAAGCGGUUAUGUCAGGUUUAGUAUUGGAAAUCAGCUUUGGUUACUUCAUACGGUCAAGGCAAGUGUGUAGUUGAUAGGUUGAUCUGCUUUAGCAUCUAUAGUGCUAUCUGCAAUCAGUAAAUCUAAAAUGGUGCUGAAGAUUGGUUAGAUAUUCAAGUUUAAAUCAAUAUAAGAUCAUAGUCCCAUUUCCAAUAGCUAAGCAUAAUUUAUUAAAAUUCCUUUUAUAUAAGAAUAAAAUAAAUUAUAUCAGUAAAUCUUCCCCCAGACUUAAAUUACAC
RNAcentral lists this long non-coding RNA (764 nucleotides) under Brassica rapa (field mustard). RNAcentral describes it as "long non-coding RNA (BRAP_LNC003621)". The record is from RNAcentral. Lineage: Eukaryota; Viridiplantae; Streptophyta; Magnoliopsida; Brassicales; Brassicaceae.